AAUAACGCAGGGUCGAACGCUUCCUACCGGUGCUUGCACCGGGAAAGAAGAGUGGCGGACGGGUGAGUAACACGUGGGUAACCUACCUACAAGCGGGGGAUAACAUUCGGAAACGGAUGCUAAUACCGCAUAGAUCUUUUUGUCUCCUGGCAGAAAGAAGAAAGACGGUUUCGGCUGUCACUUGUAGAUGGACCCGCGGCGCAUUAGUUAGUUGGUGAGGUAAUGGCUCACCAAGACGAUGAUGCGUAGCCGACCUGAGAGGGUGAUCGGCCACACUGGGACUGAGACACGGCCCAGACUCCUACGGGAGGCAGCAGUAGGGAAUCUUCCGCAAUGGACGAAAGUCUGACGGAGCAACGCCGCGUGAGUGAAGAAGGUUUUCGGAUCGUAAAACUCUGUUGUUAGAGAAGAACAAGGAUGAGAGUAACUGCUCGUCCCUUGACGGUAUCUAACCAGAAAGCCAUGGCUAACUACGUGCCAGCAGCCGCGGUAAUACGUAGAUGGGCAAGCGUUGUCCGGAUUUAUUGGGCGUAGAGCGAGCGCAGGCGGUUCUUUAAGUCUGAUGUGAAAGCCCCUGGGCUCAACCACGGAGGGUCAUUG
This 600-nucleotide ribosomal RNA is filed under the name Desemzia incerta. Its description in RNAcentral is "bacterial SSU rRNA". It matches the Rfam family "Bacterial small subunit ribosomal RNA", at positions 50 to 628 of the family's 1533-position model. Lineage: Bacteria; Bacillati; Bacillota; Bacilli; Lactobacillales; Carnobacteriaceae. The record is from RNAcentral.